UACCUAGCGGCAGACGGGUGCGUAACAUGUGGGAAUCUGCCUUUUGGUUCGGAACAACAUGGGGAAACCUGUGCUAAUACCGGAUAAGUCCUAACGGAGAAAGUUUUAAUGCCAAAAGAUGAGCCCGCAUUUGAUUAGCUUGUUGGUGAGGUAAAAGCUCACCAAGGCUACAAUCAAUAGCUGAUUUGAGAGGAUGAUCAGCCACACUGGGACUGAGAUACGGCCCAGACUCCUACGGGAGGCAGCAGUGGGGAAUCUUGCACAAUGGGCGAAAGCCUGAUGCAGCGAUGCCGCGUGAGUGAAGAAGGCCUUUGGGUUGUAAAGCUCUUUUGUCGGGAAAGAUAAUGACUGUACCCGAAGAAUAAGGUCCGGCUAACUUCGUGCCAGCAGCCGCGGUAAUACGAAGGGACCUAGCGUAGUUCGGAAUUACUGGGCGUAAAGAGUAUGUAGGCGGCUAGAUAAGUUAAUUGUGAAAGCCCAAAGCUUAACUUUGGAACUGCAAUUA
RNAcentral lists this ribosomal RNA (505 nucleotides) under uncultured Alphaproteobacteria bacterium. Its description in RNAcentral is "bacterial SSU rRNA". It matches the Rfam family "Bacterial small subunit ribosomal RNA", at positions 89 to 629 of the family's 1533-position model. The record is from RNAcentral. Lineage: Bacteria; Pseudomonadati; Pseudomonadota; Alphaproteobacteria.